RNAcentral lists this unclassified non-coding RNA (282 nucleotides) under Spiroplasma endosymbiont of Rhynchophorus ferrugineus. Its description in RNAcentral is "partial contains 16S ribosomal RNA, 16S-23S ribosomal RNA intergenic spacer, and 23S ribosomal RNA". Lineage: Bacteria; Bacillati; Mycoplasmatota; Mollicutes; Entomoplasmatales; Spiroplasmataceae. The record is from RNAcentral.
AGUCGUAACAUGGUAUCCAUACCGGAAGGAGGCGAUGGAUCACCUCCUUUCUAUGGAAUUUAGUUUCUCAUGUGAAACUAAGACAACAAGAGAAGUAAUAUGGAUGAUCUUCUGGAUUACUUCUUUUGUUCUGUUGAGUUUUCAGGAAUUGUUUUCUCUGAGCAAUUGUUCUUUAAAAACUGGAUCAUUGACAUCUUUUAAAAAAAAUAAGAUAAUUUUUAUCUUGCAAUACGAGCCUUUGGCAAUAAAUUAUCAAGAGCGUAUGGUGGAUGGCUUGGAAUA